UACGAAGGGUGCAAGCGUUACUCGGAAUUACUGGGCGUAAAGCGUGCGUAGGUGGUUUGUUAAGUCUGUUGUGAAAGCCCCGGGCUCAACCUGGGAAUGGCAAUGGAUACUGGCAGGCUAGAGUGCGGUAGAGGGUAGUGGAAUUCCCGGUGUAGCGGUGAAAUGCGUAGAGAUCGGGAGGAACACCAGUGGCGAAGGCGGCUACCUGGACCAGCACUGACACUGAGGCACGAAAGCCGUGGGGAGCAAACAGG
RNAcentral lists this ribosomal RNA (254 nucleotides) under uncultured bacterium. RNAcentral describes it as "partial 16S ribosomal RNA". It matches the Rfam family "Bacterial small subunit ribosomal RNA", at positions 524 to 776 of the family's 1533-position model. The record is from RNAcentral.